GCAAACUUGGUCAUUUAGAGGAAGUAAAAGUUGUAACAAGGUUUCCGUAGGUGAACCUGCGGAAGGAUCAUUAACAAAUCCAUAUGCGUGUUAGUGUGGGGUAACCUGCAUUUUUCACGAAUAUUAAACCGCCAGCUCAUUACGGGUUGGUUGGAAAUAAAUGUGUGUAUUGUUGACAGUGUGUGAGUGACUUAAAUUAUUGACAACUUUUAACAAUGGAUCUCUAGGCUCUUGCAUCGAUGAAGAACGCAGC
This 253-nucleotide unclassified non-coding RNA is filed under the name uncultured fungus. Its description in RNAcentral is "partial contains small subunit ribosomal RNA, internal transcribed spacer 1, and 5.8S ribosomal RNA". The stretch from base 1 to 73 matches the Rfam family "Eukaryotic small subunit ribosomal RNA", at positions 1759 to 1831 of the family's 1831-position model. The record is from RNAcentral. Lineage: Eukaryota; Fungi.